CCCAUAAGUAAUGAACUGUCCGUUUAGGUCCCUUAACUUUAUUUAAAGUAUCGGUUUGAUCCUUUCUGUUAAUUUAAUUCAAAAAAACGUUAACUUUAGGGACCAAACUAAUACUAAUUAAAUAAGAUAAGGGACCAAAAUUUAACAUUUUUUUGAAUUAAAUUAACAGAAAGGACCAAACUGAUACUUUCAAUAAAGUUAAGGGACCUAAACGCACCUUUUAUUACUUAUGAGA
Molecule: microRNA precursor, 235 nt
Organism: Medicago truncatula (barrel medic)
Lineage: Eukaryota; Viridiplantae; Streptophyta; Magnoliopsida; Fabales; Fabaceae
Rfam family: MIR2655 microRNA precursor family
Source: Rfam